RNAcentral lists this transfer RNA (76 nucleotides) under Acidobacteriota bacterium. Its description in RNAcentral is "tRNA-Lys". It matches the Rfam family "tRNA". Rfam says of the family: Transfer RNA (tRNA) molecules are approximately 80 nucleotides in length. Their secondary structure includes four short double-helical elements and three loops (D, anti-codon, and T loops). RNAcentral also lists the same sequence under 2 other names. Lineage: Bacteria; Pseudomonadati; Acidobacteriota. The record is from RNAcentral.
GACUCGGUAGCUCAGUUGGCAGAGCAUGUGACUUUUAAUCACAGGGUCCCGGGUUCGAGUCCCGGCCGGGUCACCA